This 298-nucleotide signal recognition particle RNA is filed under the name Aotus nancymaae (Ma's night monkey). RNAcentral's name for it is "Metazoan signal recognition particle RNA (ENSANAG00000008723.1)". It matches the Rfam family "Metazoan signal recognition particle RNA". Rfam says of the family: The signal recognition particle (SRP) is a universally conserved ribonucleoprotein. It is involved in the co-translational targeting of proteins to membranes. The eukaryotic SRP consists of a 300-nucleotide 7S RNA and six proteins: SRPs 72, 68, 54, 19, 14, and 9. The record is from RNAcentral. Lineage: Eukaryota; Metazoa; Chordata; Mammalia; Primates; Aotidae.
GCCGGGCGCGGUGGCUUGUGCCUGUAGUCCCAGCUACUCGGGAGGCUGAGGCUGGAGGAUCGCUUGAGCCCAGGAGUUCUGGGCUGCAGUGCACUAUGCUGAUGGGGUGUCUGCACUAAGUUCGGCAUCAAUAUGGUGACCUCCCGGGAGCGGGGGACCACCAGGUUGCCUAAGGAGGGGUGAACCGGCCCAGGUCAGAAACGGAGCAGGUCAAAAUCCCGUGCUGAUCAGUAGUGGGAUCGCACCUGUGAAUAGCCACUGCACUCCAGCCUGGGCAACAUAGCGAGACCCCGUCUCU